UACGUAGGGGGCUAGCGUUGCUCGGAAUCACUGGGCGUAAAGGGUGCGUAGGCGGGUCUUUAAGUCAGGGGUGAAAUCCUGGAGCUCAACUCCAGAACUGCCUUUGAUACUGGCGAUCUUGAGUCCGGGAGAGGUGAGUGGAACUGCGAGUGUAGAGGUGAAAUUCGUAGAUAUUCGCAAGAACACCAGUGGCGAAGGCGGCUCACUGGCCCGGUACUGACGCUGAGGUGCGAAAGCGUGGGGAGCAAACAGG
This 253-nucleotide ribosomal RNA is filed under the name uncultured bacterium. Its description in RNAcentral is "partial 16S ribosomal RNA". It matches the Rfam family "Bacterial small subunit ribosomal RNA", at positions 524 to 776 of the family's 1533-position model. The record is from RNAcentral.